Molecule: long non-coding RNA, 917 nt
Organism: Musa acuminata AAA Group (dessert banana)
Lineage: Eukaryota; Viridiplantae; Streptophyta; Magnoliopsida; Zingiberales; Musaceae
Exons: 2
Source: RefSeq, a predicted model, not a curated record
UCAUCCUUCUCCCCACCCUCUUUCUCUCUCUCCUAUUAAUUUCCAUCCUCGCCUUUCAAACAUUUGGCAUCUCUGCUGGCCUGCCUGUCUCUCUCUUCCUCUUUCCGCUUCUUGCAGCUAAAGGCGACCACCACAGUAUCUCUGUUAUGCUCCUCUGAAAGUGAGUGCAUCAUGCUGUUGCUCUUUGUUCUUGGUAGAAGCGUGAGGGCUUGUCGUGUCGUGAUUUCUCAUUUUCUGUCGAAUUCAAACCGCAAAUUAAAUUAAUGUAAAUCGUACCAUGCGGUGGCACCAGUGGUAUUUUAAUUCAAAGGCGUGCUCUGUUCUGCCAACAUAGAGCAUUUGGUGAUCGGACACUGGGAAUAGGUUUCUGGAGAUGAUGGAGUCAGCCAAGGGUCGAUCGGAGGUGGAGUUCCCCGGCCGUGCCGUCUCGCCUUGUUGGAAGAAGAAGGCGCCCGACGCCGGCUUCUUGGCCAACGUCAAGGACCACUUCGACCAGUUCGUCAGCACGCCCAUGGAUCAGCAUAGGAUCUGUCUCAAGAAGACGAUCAGAGGGGUAGGUGACCUCGUCAAGCUUAGGAAGCAAAGCAAGGAAGCAAGGCAAGCUAUUGCGUCGUCGGAUUCCGCUUCCAAAGACGGAGACGCGGAUACGUCGAGGUAGGAUGAGAUCUGCAGUGCCUCAGCUGCUGCGACGGAGCAUUCUUGUAAAUGGCAAUUGAUCUGCAGAACACAUUCUGGCAAAAUUCAGUGUGAUCACUCGAUACUAUAGAUAAAAAAAAAAGGCAUCUUCUUCUUCUUCUUCUUCUUCUUCUUCAAGAAUAAAGCACUAACCAUGUUGAUUUAUUGCGCAUCCUGCAAAUUCCAUGGCUUUUAUUGUUUGGCUUGACGAUUUCCAUGAAGAUCUUUUCUUGUGUCUUGCA